This 242-nucleotide ribosomal RNA is filed under the name uncultured Actinomycetales bacterium. Its description in RNAcentral is "partial 16S ribosomal RNA". It matches the Rfam family "Bacterial small subunit ribosomal RNA", at positions 89 to 334 of the family's 1533-position model. The record is from RNAcentral. Lineage: Bacteria; Bacillati; Actinomycetota; Actinomycetes; Actinomycetales.
ACUCGAGUGGCGAACGGGUGAGUAACACGUGGGUGAUCUGCCCUGCACUUCGGGAUAAGCUUGGGAAACUGGGUCUAAUACCGGAUAGGAGCCAUCUUUAGUGUGGUGGUUGGAAAGUUUUUUCGGUGUAGGAUGAGCUCGCGGCCUAUCGGCUUGUUGGUGGGGUAAUGGCCUACCAAGGCGGCGACGGGUAGCCGGCCUGAGAGGGUGUACGGCCACAUUGGGACUGAGAUACGGCCCAG